AGUUUGAUCCUGGCUCAGGACGAACGCUGGCGGCAGGCUUAACACAUGCAAGUCGCACGAGAACGCUCCUUCGGGAGCAAGUAAAGUGGCGGACGGGUGCGUAACGCGUAGACAACCUGCCCUUGAGCGGGGGAUAACCACGGGAAACUGUGGCUAAUACCGCAUAACGUCCGGAUCCCGCAUGGGAACCGGAUCAAAGUCUUCGGACGCUCAGGGAUGGGUCUGCGUCGGAUUAGCUCGUUGGUGAGGUAACRGCUCACCAAGGCAACAAUCCGUAGCUGGUCUGAGAGGAUGAUCAGCCACACUGGCACUGAGACACGGGCCAGACUCCUACGGGAGGCAGCAGUGGGGAAUCUUAGGCAAUGGGGGAAACCCUGACCUAGCCAUGCCGCGUGGAGGAAGACACCCCUACGGGGCGUAAACUCCUUUUCUGCCGGAAGAAAACCCUGUUUUGCAGGGCGUGACGGUACGGCAGGAAUAAGCACCGGCUAACUCCGUGCCAGCAGCCGCGGUAAUACGGAGGGUGCAAGCGUUGUCCGGAAUCACUGGGCGUAAAGGGUGUGUAGGUGGGGCAGCAAGUCAGAGGUGAAAGCCCACGGCUUAACCGUGGAAGUGCCUUUGAAACUGCUGUUCUUGAGUCCUGGAGAGGUUGCCGGAAUUCGUGGUGUAGCGGU
Molecule: ribosomal RNA, 674 nt
Filed under: uncultured Bacteroidota bacterium
Lineage: Bacteria; Pseudomonadati; Bacteroidota
Description: bacterial SSU rRNA
Rfam family: Bacterial small subunit ribosomal RNA
Source: RNAcentral